ACGAAUCCAUCCAUCCCGAGCCCCCGUGUCUCCGCCCUGUGCGCCGUGCUCCAGGACCCACUCCUCUCUCUCACCCCACGAACUCACCUUCUUCCUCCAUGCCCCAGCGAGAUCCGCUGUGCUCCCCCAGUCCACCUCCGACGACGUACCCCAUACCCUGACCGGCAGCGAAGCAUCCUGCGCGAGCAGAUGCGCUCCCCCGCACCCGACCGGCGUCGACACGGGCCGCGCCCCGCUUCUCCCUCCCGGCGUCGUCCCGCGCACCGCCGCGUCGACCCCUCGUCGGGUCGAUGCAUCCCGCGGUUGGGACCUUCGAUUCAUGUCGGAUCCGGGCCCUUCCCGUCCUACGACUACAACAAAAGAAGGUAGGGGCCCCUCUGGCCGCCCGCCUCAGAUUCCAACCAGCGAUGCCCCCUCUGCUUGCACGCUCCUCGAAGAUCCCCUACAGUCCCCAUCCAAGCGCGCACAGCACAUGGGGCUCGGCCGCACACGGGAUCAGCAUGCCGCGGCGCGGCGCUCAGAUGCCAUGGUGGGGGCUGCCCACACUUGCGCGUUUAUUUCGUUGCGCCCAGCCCACCUGCAGGUAUAACCCUGCGGUGGCUAGCUGUCCUGUGCAUGCCCUUGGCCUGCAUCCGAUUCUGCUCUACACCCCACUACGAGGAUGCCGAUGCAGAGGAAGCAGUGCAGGAGUUGCUCACAUGGGCCUGAUACAAAAAACGAUACUAGCUGCACAUGGAUCUGGGAAAAACAAGGGAGAAGACUUGGAAGAAGGUGCAAUCAGAUGGUGAAAAAACAAGCCGUUGCAGGGUCCUUCCGAUUGUGGAGGAGGAAAUGAUCCACUAUUUGCAUGGGGGAGAAGAAGAAGAAGGGCAUGAGGGUUCUUAGUGCCUUGUCAUGCCAUCAGAGGAGAUGGGGCGAGAUGGAGCUUUCAUCUGGAUUGAGAUCCAGGAGGAAGAAGACCAGGGAGAUGUCAGAGCCAUGUGUUGGGUUGGGGGGAAAGAUAGUGUGUGGGACUUUUAUACGCCCCUGUUUGGAAUGGGAGACCUCUCUUUUUUUUUGGUUUGUGCGUCACGCGGCCAACAGUUGUGAUUUUCCUUUUUGGUUCCUCUUUGAGAAAGUUUUCCUUAAAUGGGGUGUGUGCCACAGAACGCUAGGGAGCACAUGGGUGCUCCCUAGUCACGUCCUAAAACCUAAAUUCUAAAAAGUGCAGCUGCACUUUUUAGAGGUCCUGAGCACACACCCUUUCCUACCGUCCUAUUAAAAUCGCGGUUCCAGGUGCUGGGCGGUCGGUGCCGAAAGCCCAACACAAACGAAUCCAUCCAUCCCGAGCCCUCGUAUCUCCGCCCUGUGCGCCUGUGCUCCAGGACCCACUCCUCUCUCUCACCCCACGAACUCACCUUCUUCCUUCAUGUCCCACCAGUCCACCUCCGACGAUGUACCCCAUACCCUGAUUUAUGCCCAUGGUGUGUUCAGAUUAGUAUUUAAACUGUCAUUUUAUCAGUGCCGAUAGUGUUAGGAAUUGAGAAUUGCUAGCUUUAGUACAGUUUGUCUACUAUUGUGCAUUAUUGGUAAACGAGCCAGGAGAAAUUGCAUGUAGUGAGAUAGAAGAGGUGCCUAAAAUACUACACCUUAUCUACUGUUGCACAAGAACUAACAAAAAUUCCAUACGGUGGUACUAUUUGUUGUUCAUGAUUGUGUAGCAGUUCGUCAAAACAAGGAGGGUUGUAAUCUCGAUGUGGGGCUGUUUUCUGGAAUAUGUGCACAUCGUAAAACUCCUGGAACGAUUUUUUCAGUUGAUACAAUGAUUAAACCAUAUACAGUGUACCUUUUCUUUGUCCAAGAUUGGGCACUUAUAUGCACUAUCCAAGAUGCAGCCUAGGAUUGCAUCACUGCAUACAUCAAGAAGGCUAUAUUACUGUGGUUUUGUUCUUGGUGUUUUACGAGCACAUUUAGGCAUGAAAUGAGAAUCAUAGGUGUUGG
This is a long non-coding RNA of Triticum dicoccoides, 1980 nucleotides long. RefSeq lists it as uncharacterized. NCBI's taxonomy places the organism in Eukaryota, Viridiplantae, Streptophyta, Magnoliopsida, Poales, Poaceae. The record is from RefSeq and is a predicted model, not a curated record. The transcript is spliced from 4 exons.